GCGGCGGACGGGUGAGUAACACGUGGGUAACCUGCCCAUAAGACUGGGAUAACUCCGGGAAACCGGGGCUAAUACCGGAUAACAUUUUGAACCGCAUGGUUCGAAAUUGAAAGGCGGCUUCGGCUGUCACUUAUGGAUGGACCCGCGUCGCAUUAGCUAGUUGGUGAGGUAACGGCUCACCAAGGCAACGAUGCGUAGCCGACCUGAGAGGGUGAUCGGCCACACUGGGACUGAGACACGGCCCAGACUCCUACGGGAGGCAGCAGUAGGGAAUCUUCCGCAAUGGACGAAAGUCUGACGGAGCAACGCCGCGUGAGUGAUGAAGGCUUUCGGGUCGUAAAACUCUGUUGUUAGGGAAGAACAAGUGCUAGUUGAAUAAGCUGGCACCUUGACGGUACCUAACCAGAAAGCCACGGCUAACUACGUGCCAGCAGCCGCGGUAAUACGUAGGUGGCAAGCGUUAUCCGGAAUUAUUGGGCGUAAAGCGCGCGCAGGUGGUUUCUUAAGUCUGAUGUGAAAGCCCACGGCUCAACCGUGGAGGGUCAUUGGAAACUGGGAGACUUGAGUGCAGAGAGGAAAGUGG
Molecule: ribosomal RNA, 583 nt
Filed under: Bacillus thuringiensis
Lineage: Bacteria; Bacillati; Bacillota; Bacilli; Caryophanales; Bacillaceae
Description: bacterial SSU rRNA
Rfam family: Bacterial small subunit ribosomal RNA
Source: RNAcentral